GGGCCCGCACAAGCGGUGGAGUAUGUGGUUUAAUUCGAUGCAACGCGAAGAACCUUACCAGGGUUUGACAUCCUGCGAAUCUCUUGGAAACAGGAGAGUGCCCUUCGGGAACGCAGUGACAGGUGGUGCAUGGCUGUCGUCAGCUCGUGUCGUGAGAUGUUGGGUUAAGUCCCGCAACGAGCGCAACCCACGUCUUUAGUUGCCAGCAUCAGUUGGGCACUCUAGAGAGACUGCCGGUGAUAAACCGGAGAAGGUGUGGAUGACGUCAAGUCAUCAUGCCCCUUACAUCUGGGCUACACACGUACUACAAUGCUACGGACAAAGAGCAGCAAAGUUUCGCGAGGGACAAGCAAAAUCUCAUAAACCGUGGCUC
Molecule: ribosomal RNA, 373 nt
Filed under: uncultured bacterium
Lineage: Bacteria
Description: bacterial SSU rRNA
Rfam family: Bacterial small subunit ribosomal RNA
Source: RNAcentral